Molecule: ribosomal RNA, 465 nt
Filed under: uncultured bacterium
Lineage: Bacteria
Description: partial 16S ribosomal RNA
Rfam family: Bacterial small subunit ribosomal RNA
Source: RNAcentral
CCUACGGGUGGCAGCAGUAGGGAAUCUUCCACAAUGGGCGAAAGCCUGAUGGAGCAACGCCGCGUGGGUGAAGAAGGUCUUCGGAUCGUAAAACCCUGUUGUUAGAGAAGAAAGUGCGUGAGAGUAACGGUUUCCGUUUCGACGGUAUCUAACCAGAAAGCGACGGCUAACUACGUGCGAGCAGCCGCGGUAAUACGUAGGUGGCAAGCGUUAUCCGGAUUUAUUGGGCGUAACGGGAAAGUAGGCGGUCUUUUCAGUGUGAUGUGAAAGUCUUCGGCCUAACCGGAGUAGUGCAUUGGAGACUGGGAGACUUGAGUGCCGAAGAGGAGAGUGGAACUCCAUGUGUAGCGAUGAAAUGCGUAGAUAUAGGGAAGAACACCAGUGGCGAAAGCGGCUCUCUGGUCUGUAACUGACGCUGAGGUUCGAAAGCGUGGGUAGCAAACAGGAUUAGAUACCCUAGUAGUC